GGCGCGUUGGCAGAGUGGUUAUGCAGCGGAUUGCAAAUCCGCGGACCUCGGUUCGAUUCCGGGACGCGCCU
RNAcentral lists this transfer RNA (71 nucleotides) under Orbus hercynius. It matches the Rfam family "tRNA". From Rfam's summary of the family: Transfer RNA (tRNA) molecules are approximately 80 nucleotides in length. Their secondary structure includes four short double-helical elements and three loops (D, anti-codon, and T loops). The record is from Rfam by way of RNAcentral. Lineage: Bacteria; Pseudomonadati; Pseudomonadota; Gammaproteobacteria; Orbales; Orbaceae.